AGUGAACGCUGGCGGUAGGCCUAACACAUGCAAGUCGAACGGCAGCACAGUAAGAGCUUGCUCUUACGGGUGGCGAGUGGUGGACGGGUGAGGAAUACAUCGGAAUCUACUUUUUCGUGGGGGAUAACGUAGGGAAACUUACGCUAAUACCGCAUACGACCUACGGGUGAAAGCAGGGGAUCUUCGGACCUUGCGCGAUUGAAUGAGCCGAUGUCGGUUUAGCUAGUUGGCGGGGUAAAGGCCCACCAAGGCGACGAUCCGUAGCUGGUCUGAGAGGAUGAUCAGCCACACUGGAACUGAGACACGGUCCAGACUCCUACGGGAGGCAGCAGUGGGGAAUAUUGGACAAUGGGCGCAAGCCUGAUCCAGCCAUACCGCGUGGGUGAAGAAGGCCUUCGGGUUGUAAAGCCCUUUUGUUGGGAAAGAAAAGCAGCAGGUUAAUACCCCGCUGUUCUGACGGUACCCAAAGAAUAAGCACCGGCUAACUUCGUG
RNAcentral lists this ribosomal RNA (492 nucleotides) under uncultured bacterium. RNAcentral describes it as "partial 16S ribosomal RNA". It matches the Rfam family "Bacterial small subunit ribosomal RNA", at positions 29 to 507 of the family's 1533-position model. The record is from RNAcentral.